AGGAGGUGCUCGAAAGAGAGCCGUAACACAGGUGCUGCAUGGCUGUCGUCAGCUCGUGUCGUGAGAUGUUGGGUUAAGUCCCGCAACGAGCGCAACCCUUGUCAUUAGUUGCUACAUUCAGUUGGGCACUCUAAUGAGACUGCCGGUGACAAACCGGAGGAAGGUGGGGAUGACGUCAAGUCCUCAUGGCCCUUAUAGGUGGGGCUACACACGUCAUACAAUGGAUGGUACAAAGGGUCGCCAACCCGCGAGGGGGAGCCAAUCCCAUAAAGCCAUUCGUAGUCCGGAUCGCAGUCUGCAACUCGACUGCGUGAAGUCGGAAUCGCUAGUAAUCGUGGAUCAGAAUGUCACGGUGAAUACGUUCCCGGGUCUU
Molecule: ribosomal RNA, 373 nt
Filed under: uncultured Acidovorax sp.
Lineage: Bacteria; Pseudomonadati; Pseudomonadota; Betaproteobacteria; Burkholderiales; Comamonadaceae
Description: bacterial SSU rRNA
Rfam family: Bacterial small subunit ribosomal RNA
Source: RNAcentral